This 69-nucleotide transfer RNA is filed under the name Salanx cuvieri (noodlefish). Its description in RNAcentral is "tRNA-His". It matches the Rfam family "tRNA". Rfam says of the family: Transfer RNA (tRNA) molecules are approximately 80 nucleotides in length. The record is from RNAcentral. Lineage: Eukaryota; Metazoa; Chordata; Actinopteri; Osmeriformes; Salangidae.
GUAAAUAUAGUUUAACUAAAACACUAGAUUGUGAUUCUAGUAACAGGGGUUAAAAUCCCCUUAUUCACC